CAAAGUCCUGGCCGGUCUGGCCGCUGUAAGCACCGGAGGGAGCCCCCUUCGGUGCUGACGGUCGACCCUUUGUGAAAACCCCCCUACCUUGUUGAUUUUGGCAGCGUCUCCCGGCUCGUCCGGGGCAUCAGCCUGCCGGUGAUACCUUUGGAAACCCUUUGUCCUGAAAGGAAGCAUUGAUAACGUCUGAGCGCGCAGUCGAAUGACACGUA
RNAcentral lists this unclassified non-coding RNA (212 nucleotides) under uncultured Orbiliales. Its description in RNAcentral is "sequence contains ITS1". Lineage: Eukaryota; Fungi; Ascomycota; Orbiliomycetes; Orbiliales. The record is from RNAcentral.